GCUUUGAUUUCUUUAGUUGAAGAGAACUGGAAAGUUCCGUCGUAGAAGGUAAUAACCCUGUAGGCGAAAAGGAAAGAAAAGUAGAUCUACUCCAGAGUACCACGAGACACGUGAAACCUUGUGGGAAGCUGGGAGGACCAUCUCCCAAGGCUAAAUACUACCUAGUGACCGAUAGUGAAGCAGUACCGUGAGGGAAAGGUGAAAAGAACCCCGGAAGGGGAGUGAAAUAGAAUCUGAAACCGUGUGCCUACAAUCGGUCGGAGCACAUUAAAGUGUGACGGCGUACUUUUUGUAGAACGGGCCAGCGAGUUACGAUAUAUAGCGAGGUUAAGCACUUAUGGUGUGGAGCCGAAGGGAAACCGAGUCUGAAUAGGGCAACUAGUUGUAUAUUGUAGACCCGAAACCGAGUGACCUAUCCAUGGCCAGGAUGAAGCGGAAGUAAAAUUCCGUGGAGGUCCGAACCACGUUGGUGUUGAAAACCCAUGGGAUGAGCUGUGGAUAGCGGAGAAAUUCCAAUCGAACUCGGAGAUAGCUGGUUCUCCUCGAAAUAGCUUUAG
Molecule: ribosomal RNA, 557 nt
Filed under: Clostridium botulinum C/D
Lineage: Bacteria; Bacillati; Bacillota; Clostridia; Eubacteriales; Clostridiaceae
Description: partial 23S ribosomal RNA
Rfam family: Bacterial large subunit ribosomal RNA
Source: RNAcentral